RNAcentral lists this ribosomal RNA (365 nucleotides) under uncultured bacterium. RNAcentral describes it as "bacterial SSU rRNA". It matches the Rfam family "Bacterial small subunit ribosomal RNA", at positions 29 to 372 of the family's 1533-position model. The record is from RNAcentral.
AACGAACGCUGGCGGCGUGGAUAAGACAUGCAAGUCGUGCGGAAACUGCUUGGUAGCAAUAUCGAGCAGUUUCAGCGGCGAAAGGGUGCGUAACGCGUGGGCAAUCUUCCUAAAAGCUUGGAAUAACACCGAGAAAUCGGAGCUAAUGCCGGAUGUUGACUUCGGGGGGAUUCCUCGGAAGUCCAAAGUUGGGGACUGUAAAGCCUGACACUUUGCGAUGAGCCCGCGGCCUAUCAGCUAGUUGGUGAGGUAACGGCUCACCAAGGCUAAGACGGGUAGCUGGUCUGAGAGGACGACCAGCCACACUGGAACUGAGACACGGUCCAGACACCUACGGGUGGCAGCAGUCGAGAAUUUUUCACAAU